Cebus imitator (Panamanian white-faced capuchin) is the source of this 226-nucleotide long non-coding RNA. RefSeq lists it as uncharacterized. NCBI's taxonomy places the organism in Eukaryota, Metazoa, Chordata, Mammalia, Primates, Cebidae. The transcript is spliced from 2 exons. The record is from RefSeq and is a predicted model, not a curated record.
AGGAGGAUUACCAUUAUCUAUUCAAAGAAGGCUUUGGGUAGGGCUUCUCAGUCAGAUUAUCCUUAUGUAGGUGGAGAACAUAAACUUGGAAACGUAAUUGGAAUUUGAAGAAAUGCUAUUAGAAUUUUAGGAAGUCAUUUGUAUUCCAUUUCUGAGACGCGACCUGGAUAGAAUUCUGAAAAACACUGAAAAUAUUAGAACAAAGAGAAACUUGUUCCUCCAACCU